Molecule: long non-coding RNA, 455 nt
Organism: Patiria miniata (bat star)
Lineage: Eukaryota; Metazoa; Echinodermata; Asteroidea; Valvatida; Asterinidae
Exons: 2
Source: RefSeq, a predicted model, not a curated record
AAAAUCAUUGUUAUUUCUUGAAUUUAGUUUGUGGAGGGUGACCACUGCCUCAAUCCUCCAAAAUCCUCUGCCAAUUACUGCAAUGGUUUGAGGCAGUACGAAUGGCAUUUAGAAGCAGUGCGGAUGAAAUACAAGAAAAACACAGGGCUGAUUUAUGCAUGGCUGAAUAUAACCAAUGCAGGAUAUGGCCUACUGGCUUGACAUAAUGCAUCCUCCUCAAAAAAGCGAUACAUCUUUGUCAUUCAUCCUCAUUCCUCUAAAAUCAUCCAAAACAGGCAGGAGGAUUUUGGAGGAUUGGGGGUUAGGGUUAAGAUUAUCCUUGAGUUACAUGUUCAGCCUGGUUAAUGUCGCAUUUCCCCUCACGAAAAAAAAAAUGCAUAAUUUUAAUUUACUCUAGGAAUGCUAUAAUUUUAAUGUAUACACGCAUGUGUGUUUCAAUAAAGGUAUCCAAGUGU